GUCGAGCGGUAACGGGCCUUCGGGUGCCGACGAGUGGCGAACGGGUGAGUAAUGCAUCGGAACGUACCUUUCAGUGGGGGAUAACGUAGCGAAAGUUACGCUAAUACCGCAUAUUCUGUGCGCAGGAAAGCAGGGGAUCGCAAGACCUUGCGCUGAUUGAGCGGCCGAUGUCAGAUUAGCUAGUUGGUGAGGUAAAGGCUCACCAAGGCGACGAUCUGUAGCGGGUCUGAGAGGAUGAUCCGCCACACUGGAACUGAGACACGGUCCAGACUCCUACGGGAGGCAGCAGUGGGGAAUUUUGGACAAUGGGGGCAACCCUGAUCCAGCCAUGCCGCGUGAGUGAAGAAGGCCUUCGGGUUGUAAAGCUCUUUCGGCCGGGAAGAAAUCGCAUGGGCCAAUACCCUGUGCGGAUGACGGUACCGGCAUAAGAAGCACCGGCUAACUACGUGCCAGCAGCCGCGGUAAUACGUAGGGUGCGAGCGUUAAUCGGAAUUACUGGGCGUAAAGCGUGCGCAGGCGGUUUUGUAAGACAGGCGUGAAAUCCCCGGGCUCAACCUGGGAACUGCGCUUGUGACUGCAAGGCUAGAGUACGGCAGAGGGGGGUGGAAUUCCACGUGUAGCAGUGAAAUGCGUAGAGAUGUGGAGG
This 646-nucleotide ribosomal RNA is filed under the name uncultured bacterium. Its description in RNAcentral is "bacterial SSU rRNA". It matches the Rfam family "Bacterial small subunit ribosomal RNA", at positions 61 to 704 of the family's 1533-position model. The record is from RNAcentral.